CCUACGGGAGGCUGCAGUGAGGAAUAUUGGUCAAUGGACGAGAGUCUGAACCAGCCAAGUAGCGUGAAGGAUGACUGCCCUAUGGGUUGUAAACUUCUUUUAUAUGGGAAUAAAAUGUUCCACGUGUGGGAUUUUGUAUGUACCAUAUGAAUAAGGAUCGGCUAACUCCGUGCCAGCAGCCGCGGUAAUACGGAGGAUCCGAGCGUUAUCCGGAUUUAUUGGGUUUAAUGGGAGCGUAGGUGGAUUGUUAAGUCAGUUGUGAAAGUUUGCGGCUCAACCGUAAAAUUGCAGUUGAAACUGGCAGUCUUGAGUAGAGUAGAGGUGGGCGGAAUUCGUGGUGUAGCGGUGAAAUGCUUAGAUAUCACGAAGAACUCCGAUUGCGAAGGCAGCUCACUGGACUGCAACUGACACUGAGGCUCGAAAGUGUGGGUAUCGAACAGGAUUAGAUACCCUGGUAGUC
This 460-nucleotide ribosomal RNA is filed under the name uncultured bacterium. RNAcentral describes it as "partial 16S ribosomal RNA". It matches the Rfam family "Bacterial small subunit ribosomal RNA", at positions 338 to 795 of the family's 1533-position model. The record is from RNAcentral.